This 728-nucleotide ribosomal RNA is filed under the name Heteroradulum deglubens. RNAcentral's name for it is "eukaryotic LSU rRNA". It matches the Rfam family "Eukaryotic large subunit ribosomal RNA", at positions 143 to 855 of the family's 3401-position model. The record is from RNAcentral. Lineage: Eukaryota; Fungi; Basidiomycota; Agaricomycetes; Auriculariales; Auriculariaceae.
GUUGUAAUUCUAGAAGAGGNUGUUUUUUCCGUGCCGGACCGUGUACAAGUCCCUUGGAACAGGGCGUCAUAGAGGGUGAGAAUCCCGUCCAUGACACGGACUACCGGUGCUCUGUGAUACACCUUUCGAAGAGUCGAGUUGUUUUGGGAAUGCAGCUCAAAAUGGGGUGGUAAAUUCCAUCUAAAGCUAAAUACAGGCGAGAGACCGAUAGCGAACAAGUACCGUGAGGGAAAGAUGAAAAGAACUUUGGAAAGAGAGUUAAACAGUACGUGAAAUUGUUGAAAGGGAAACGCUUGAAGUCAGUCGCGUCUGUCAGGACUCAGCCUUGCUUCUGCAUGGUGCAUUUCCUGGUGGAUGGGCCAGCAUCGAUUUUGGUCGCCGGAAAAGGGCGGGAGGAAUGUGGCAGCUUGCUGUGUUAUAGCCUCCUGUCGUACACGGUGGUUGGGAUCGAGGACUGCAGCACGCCUUUGGUCGGGGUUCGCCCACGCCACGUGCUUAGGAUGCUGGCGUAAUGGCUUUAAGCGACCCGUCUUGAAACACGGACCAAGGAGUCUAACAUGCCUGCGAGUGUUUGGGCGUUAAACCCAGGCGCGUAAUGAAAGUGAAAAGUUGGGACUCUUUAGUGAGGCACCGACGCCCGAUCCUGACGUUCUCUGACGGAUUUGAGGUAGAGCAUGUAUGUUGGGACCCGAAAGAUGGUGAACUAUGCCUGAAUAGGGUGAAGCCAG